UACGUAGGGGGCAAGCGUUGUCCGGAUUUAUUGGGCGUAAAGAGCGUGUAGGCGGCUUUACAGGUCCGUUGUGAAAACUCGAGGCUCAACCUCGAGACGCCGGUGGAAACCGUAAAGCUAGAGUCCGGAAGAGGAGAGUGGAAUUCCUGGUGUAGCGGUGAAAUGCGCAGAUAUCAGGAGGAACACCCGUGGCGAAAGCGGCUCUCUGGGACGGUACUGACGCUGAGGAGCGAAAGCGUGGGGAGCAAACGGG
RNAcentral lists this ribosomal RNA (253 nucleotides) under uncultured bacterium. RNAcentral describes it as "partial 16S ribosomal RNA". It matches the Rfam family "Bacterial small subunit ribosomal RNA", at positions 524 to 776 of the family's 1533-position model. The record is from RNAcentral.